RNAcentral lists this non-coding RNA (22 nucleotides) under Arabidopsis thaliana (thale cress). The record is from RNAcentral. Lineage: Eukaryota; Viridiplantae; Streptophyta; Magnoliopsida; Brassicales; Brassicaceae.
GUUCAGGGAGAGAACUGAUCGC